GAUGAAGAACGCAGCGAAAUGCGAUAAGUAAUGUGAAUUGCAGAAUUCAGUGAAUCAUCGAAUCUUUGAACGCACAUUGCGCCCGCCAGUAUUCUGGCGGGCAUGCCUGUUCGAGCGUCAUUACAACCCUCAGGCCCCCGGGCCUGGCGUUGGGGAUCGGCGGAAGCCCCCUGUGGGCACACGCCGUCCCUCAAAUAUAGUGGCGGUCCCGCCGCAGCUUCCAUUGCGUAGUAGCUAACACCUCGCAACUGGAGAGCGGCGCGGCCAUGCCGUAAAACACCCAACUUCUGAAUGUUGACCUCGAAUCAGGUAGGAAUUCCCGCUGAACUUAAGCAUAUCAAUAAGCGGAGGA
RNAcentral lists this unclassified non-coding RNA (352 nucleotides) under soil metagenome. Its description in RNAcentral is "partial contains 5.8S ribosomal RNA, internal transcribed spacer 2, and large subunit ribosomal RNA". The stretch from base 1 to 120 matches the Rfam family "5.8S ribosomal RNA", at positions 35 to 154 of the family's 154-position model. The record is from RNAcentral.